RNAcentral lists this ribosomal RNA (430 nucleotides) under uncultured bacterium. Its description in RNAcentral is "bacterial SSU rRNA". It matches the Rfam family "Bacterial small subunit ribosomal RNA", at positions 355 to 776 of the family's 1533-position model. The record is from RNAcentral.
UGGGGAAUAUUGGGCAAUGGCCGAAAGGCUGACCCAGCGACGCCGCGUGCGGGAGGAAGCCCUUCGGGGUGUAAACCGCUGUCAGAGGGGACGAAUGAGAGAGGAUUGAACAGAUCUUCUCUGUGACGGUACCCUCAAAGGAAGCACCGGCUAACUCUGUGCCAGCAGCCGCGGUAAUACAGAGGGUGCAAGCGUUGUUCGGAAUCACUGGGCGUAAAGCGCGCGCAGGCGGAUGGUUGCGUCCGGAGUGAAAUUUCGCCGCUCAACGGCGAAGCUGCUUUGGAUACGGACCGUCUAGGGACCGGUAGAGGCUGGUAGAAUUGCAGGUGUAGCGGUGGAAUGCGUAGAGAUCUGCAAGAAUACCCGUGGCGAAGGCGGCCAGCUGGGCCGGAUCCGACGCUGAGGCGCGAAAGCGUGGGGAGCAAACAGG